GAUGAAGAACGUAGCGAAAUGCGAUACUUGGUGUGAAUUGCAGAAUCCCGUGAACCAUCGAGUCUUUGAACGCAAGUUGCGCCCGAAGCCAUCAGGUUGAGGGCACGUCUGCCUGGGCGUCACAUAUCGUUGCCCAAUGCCUAUUGCAGUGCAAUAGGAAUUUCUAGGGCGAAUGAUGGCUUCCCGUGAGCGUUGUUGCCUCGCGGUUGGUUGAAAAUCGAGUCCUUGGUAGGGUGUGCCAUGGUAGAUGGUGGUCGAGUUAGAACGAUACCGAUCAUGUGCAUGCUCCACAAAAUAUGGCCUCUAUGACCCACACGCGUCUUUUGACGCUCAUGACGAGACCUCAGGUCAGGCGGGGCUACCCGCUGAAUUUAAGCAUAUCAAUAAGCGGAGGA
This 395-nucleotide unclassified non-coding RNA is filed under the name soil metagenome. RNAcentral describes it as "partial contains 5.8S ribosomal RNA, internal transcribed spacer 2, and large subunit ribosomal RNA". The stretch from base 1 to 122 matches the Rfam family "5.8S ribosomal RNA", at positions 35 to 154 of the family's 154-position model. The record is from RNAcentral.